AGAAUACUCCCUCCGUACGGAAAUAAUUGUCGAAAGAAUGGAUGUAUCUAGAUGUAUUUUAGUUCUAGAUACAUCCGUUUUAAUCAAUUUUUAUGACAAGUAAUUCCGGACGGGGUACAUA
RNAcentral lists this microRNA precursor (121 nucleotides) under Hordeum vulgare. Its description in RNAcentral is "microRNA MIR1122". It matches the Rfam family "MIR1120/MIR1122 microRNA precursor family". The record is from RNAcentral. Lineage: Eukaryota; Viridiplantae; Streptophyta; Magnoliopsida; Poales; Poaceae.